Quercus robur (English oak) is the source of this 533-nucleotide long non-coding RNA. RefSeq lists it as uncharacterized. The record is from RefSeq and is a predicted model, not a curated record. The transcript has 2 exons. NCBI's taxonomy places the organism in Eukaryota, Viridiplantae, Streptophyta, Magnoliopsida, Fagales, Fagaceae.
UUGGAUCGAUUUUAAUUUAGGUAUUUGGGUUACAUUAGGUUUUGAUUUGAUUUUUUGAAAUUUGGGGUUAUAUAUGAUUUAGGUUUGGAGAGGGCAAAGACAGAGAAAUAAGAAAUAAGAGAGAACGUGGGUUCGUUAUUCAGAAAGAGCACUGUGGGUUCGUUAUUCAGAAAGAGCACUGGUAACCAGAGAAAUCAAACUUCCUAUCAGAACGCCAGAAACCUUUAUCGCUUUAACUUAGCCUCAUUUGAUCAAAUUCUUUAGACGAAGUAUUAAGAUAAAGAACAUGAAACCAACUACAACCAUGAUUCUCUACCAAAUUGCUUCCAAGGAUAUUCUCAGCAUUCUCUUUUAGCUGGGAUUUUUUUUCACCUUAAUUGCUAGAAAUAUUUUGUAUUCAUCACAAGGGAUGUUACCAUUAACAUUUUUUUAUUUGGGAAAAGGUUACCAUUCAUUUUAGUUGCUUAUGAUAUUCUUAAAAGAAAUCUAUUUUUAAGAAUCAUAUUGUGAUGGAAAUUAUAUGUGUUAUUAUA